UUAAAACACCGGUCCCCAUAUGAUCACCGAAGUUAAGCAACGUUUAGCCUGGUCAGUAUCUAGAUGGGUAACCACUUGGAUAUGCCAGAUGCU
Non-coding RNA from Acanthosepion pharaonis, 93 nucleotides. Lineage: Eukaryota; Metazoa; Mollusca; Cephalopoda; Sepiida; Sepiidae. The record is from the annotation of a GenBank genome assembly.